Molecule: long non-coding RNA, 1326 nt
Organism: Cyanistes caeruleus (blue tit)
Lineage: Eukaryota; Metazoa; Chordata; Aves; Passeriformes; Paridae
Source: Ensembl
CUCCCAUCUCCGGCGUGGACAGUCAUCCACUUGUGCUUUUUGAGAGUAGUCAAGCUCUUACCUGAAGUCCACAGGCUCAUCCUUUUUGCUGACACAUCCCGUUUGUCCACCACAGUAAAAGAAUUCUGCUGUGAAGCUGAAUUCUGCUCAUGCUGGAGAGACCACUUGAGCUGAGGGCUUGCAUGAGAAUGAGGUGGUGCUUAGCUGAAGCAGGCAAACAAAAACACUAACAAAAUUAAAUUUAAGAACAGAUAGCAGAUGAAAGCAAAAAAAACCCAAAAACAACAGAAAGGUAGCAGGCUGUGAUUAAUAUGGGAAGUAAGUAACAAAAAGAGAAAAGUUAAAACAUGAGUAAUUAAAAAAGACCACAGGCAACACAGUCAAUGUUAUUUAUGCUGCAACUGGUUUUGCUCAGGGAGAAAGCAAAGGUGAAUCAGAUGAGCUAUGAGUGCUGAUCUCUCAGUCGUUUUCUUUCAAUUAAGGAUUAUUUCUUAUCUUUACUUUUUAUAACGAGGACUGCAAACCCCAAUUGGGGAUUUACCAACAGUUUCUCUUGUUUUUUGUUGUUUUUCUUGUCUUUUUUUCUCUAUGACAUUGCGAUACUUAACAUCUUUGCCUCUCCUUUAAAUGGGUCAUUUGCAGGAAAAUUACAAUACAUGAUGUCAUGGGGUAGCUUUACCUUUAAGACAGCUUGGAGGGAGAGGAAGUUGAAGCUGCUGGUGGCUGAUGGGAGUUUUUCCUCCUGACCAAUUAUCGGCCUAUCUGAAAUACCAGUGAAUUGAACACUCAGAAGACAACCACUUGUUGCGUUCUCUCCUGAUGGAAGAGCAGUCGUUCUCAGCAUCAGACUCUAACCUCUUCUGGCUUUUAAUCAGGAGUUACUUCCAAGAACAGGGCAACAGGCUGGGACCCGUCUCGUGCAGCUCAGUUUCUGAGCAGCCUUAUGCAGGUUUGUUUUGGACUGCUAUCUCCUCCUGCAAGCAAAACAGCAAUUUCUACUCAAUCCUGCGUGAAGGAGAUGUGUCCAGCAGUUCUCUCUUGCUCCCCAGGGGAAUAAAGAUCUAUCUCCUGCAUUAUUGGCUUUUCUUGUUCGUUGUUUUUUAUUUUCUUGCUUCGGUUUCCAAAACCACUGAAUUCACAGCAUGUUCAGCUAACAGAAAAAUAACCCAAGUGCUGUGCUUUGAACACAUAAUGGAUCUCCUAAAGAACAUGAAACCACCAAUGUCCACUGGAAGUUCUUGUCUACAUGAGGUGAACAUGCAGAAAGGUAAAAAACCCCUGACACUCUCCAGGGAGUCGCAUGUAUCAGGUAAUUUUUUUUUAUGA